This 62-nucleotide transfer RNA is filed under the name Amblyomma mixtum. Its description in RNAcentral is "tRNA-Val". Lineage: Eukaryota; Metazoa; Arthropoda; Arachnida; Ixodida; Ixodidae. The record is from RNAcentral.
AAAAAUGAAAUCAAUGUUUGAUGUUUCAUUUACAAUGAAAAUUUGUAUUAAUACCAUUUUUU